Molecule: ribosomal RNA, 402 nt
Filed under: uncultured Acetobacteraceae bacterium
Lineage: Bacteria; Pseudomonadati; Pseudomonadota; Alphaproteobacteria; Acetobacterales; Acetobacteraceae
Also listed under: 1 other name
Description: partial 16S ribosomal RNA
Rfam family: Bacterial small subunit ribosomal RNA
Source: RNAcentral
UGGGGAAUAUUGGACAAUGGGCGCAAGCCUGAUCCAGCAAUUCCGCGUGGGUGAAGAAGGUCUUCGGAUUGUAAAGCCCUUUCGACGGGGACGAUGAUGACGGUACCCGUAGAAGAAGCCCCGGCUAACUUCGUGCCAGCAGCCGCGGUAAUACGAAGGGGGCUAGCGUUGCUCGGAAUUACUGGGCGUAAAGGGCGCGUAGGCGGCGGUGUUAGUCAGGCGUGAAAGCCCUGGGCUCAACCUGGGGACUGCGCUUGAUACGGCAUUGCUAGAGGAUGGAAGAGGGUCGCGGAAUUCCCAGUGUAGAGGUGAAAUUCGUAGAUAUUGGGAAGAACACCGGUGGCGAAGGCGGCGACCUGGUCCAUUACUGACGCUGAGGCGCGACAGCGUGGGGAGCAAACA